This 512-nucleotide ribosomal RNA is filed under the name uncultured bacterium. RNAcentral's name for it is "partial 16S ribosomal RNA". It matches the Rfam family "Bacterial small subunit ribosomal RNA", at positions 28 to 523 of the family's 1533-position model. The record is from RNAcentral.
GACGAACGCUGGCGGCGUGCCUAAUACAUGCAAGUCGAGCGGACAGAAGGGAGCUUGCUCCCGGAAGUCAGCGGCGGACGGGUGAGUAACACGUGGGCAACCUGCCUGUAAGACUGGGAUAACUUCGGGAAACCGGAGCUAAUACCGGAUAGGUUCUUCCUCCGCAUGGGGGUAGAUGUAAAGACGGUUUCGGCUGUCACUUACAGCUGGGCCCGCGGCGCAUUAGCUAGUUGGUGGGGUAAUGGCCCACCAAGGCGACGAUGCGUAGCCGACCUGAGAGGGUGAUCGGCCACACUGGGACUGAGACACGGCCCAGACCCCUACGGGAGGCAGCAGUAGGGAAUCUUCCGCAAUGGACGAAAGUCUGACGGAGCAACGCCGCGUGAGCGAAGAAGGCCUUCGGGUCGUAAAGCUCUGUUGUUAGGGAAGAACAAGUGCCAGAGUAACUGCUGGCACCUUGACGGUACCUGACCAGAAAGCCACGGCUAACUACGUGCCAGCCGCCGCCGUAA